UUGGAGCCAGCUGAUAAUGGACUGAAAGCUCUACAAACUAGGCUGGAAAAUUCAAGAUCAAGAUGCUGGCAGAUUCAGUUCCUGGUUCAUAUCUUCCUGUGUCCUCCUCACCUGGUGAAAGGGGUACCAUUUGUUCUGCGGCUCUUCAGCAGUGAACCAGUUACAAGACCAAACGUGUUAUGUGAGUCUAAAAUACAAUGGUGAGAAAAACAGGGUGGACAUUCCCUUUCCCAUAGAACUAGAAGUUCCCAUAGAACUUGAAGCUCUCAAGUCCAAAUUAAUAUUCCUAUUUGUCUUCAUAUCUUAGGAAUCUUUCACCUUUUGCCAAAUUACUCCAAAAUACAAGGCAAAUCACUUAAGCUCUUAAGACUUGAGAAUAAUCUUGAGGUCUUGGAUUUAUUGCGGUGAAGGUCCUGCCCUGCUGCUCUGCUAGGAAAGGGUUUUGUCCCCAGGCUGUGUCAGGUAGUCCUGCCCCUACACUUUGGGCAGAGGCUGGCUGGCUGGUUGGCCAGUUAAAAACAAGGCAAUGGUCCCUCCUUUUGACACUAGGGAGAUGUAAGAGUUCCUUGUGCUGCAUGGAGUUACUGUUGGAUCAGGCACUCUUCUUUCCCAUCUCCACUGCCCUUCCCCUGAGAAAUAAUGCAGAUCAGUUUGUCUAGGGCGAGUCUCUUCCCUGUGGCUGACCAGAUUCCACCAUUCUCGAGUGACCCGGUCUUCCAUCUCCAGGAUGGUGAGUUUACCCCUCGUGAUCCUUCAGGGUCUGACCACCCGUGUUUCGCAUUUUGUAUUCCCUCUGACUUACCCUAGCACCAGAUUCUUAAAAACUUGUCCAGAUUUAAUCCUCUAACUCUCAACGAAUAACUGAAAAAGUUUGAAUCCCAUUCUGCCCAGCUUUCUGCCCUUAGGAGAGGGCUGGAAACUAGGGAAUAUCUCCACUCCCCCUUUUCAUCUCCCCUUCCCUCAGGAAUGCUGCUAGGACUGGGCAGGCUGAUUGGUUUAGGCGAGGGCCAUUACAGCAAAAAUGAUUUCAGUGAUGGAAGAGCAAACAUCCCUGGAGACGCUCAUGAGUUUGAUAACAGUUUUAAACAAAAGUGGAUCACGAGGAUCACAAGGAAGAAAGUGCCAGCACGAACAGCCCAGUUUUGGCCACUUCCUCGAGUAUCUCCAGCUUGCCACUGCUGGAGCUGGACAGGGUCAAACCUAAGAGAUGUCUUAGGUAAAGAGUGAAAAACAAGCGGGGAUAAGCAGGGACCCCUCUGUUCCUCUCGUCUCUUUUCAUAAGGAGGAAAAAACUGUUGUGGGUGGACAUUUGCAGCAAGGAGGUUGAUACCUUGGCAGACCUUCAACUUGCCCCACCCUUUGAAAUACUAUACAUACUCAGUAAGCUCCAAUAAAGUGCCUUGUCUCUUUCUAUCUGGCCUGGGCAUCUCCUGAGAAAUAAAAUAGUUGCCAAAAGAAAGUGUAUAAAUGACAACACUGCACCUUUAACAAUCUGUCCCUGUACAGGUAACAUUUACAUAUGGCUAUCUAAAGCAGGGGCUAUCAGAAGAAGAGUUUACUAUAGUAACUAUCACAGAGCCUAGUGUUCUUCUUAAAACAUUCCUGAGGCAUGACAUGGUGGCACAAACCUGUAAUCUCAGCACUUGAAGGCUGAGGCAGGAGGAUCGCUGCAAGUUCAA
Molecule: long non-coding RNA, 1679 nt
Organism: Chinchilla lanigera (long-tailed chinchilla)
Lineage: Eukaryota; Metazoa; Chordata; Mammalia; Rodentia; Chinchillidae
Exons: 3
Source: RefSeq, a predicted model, not a curated record